CUUGGCCUACGGGGGGCAGCAGUGGGGAAUAUUGCACAAUGGGGGUACCCUGAUGCAGCGACGCCGCGUGAGUGAAGAAGUAUUUCGGGAUGUAAAGCUCUAUCAGCAGGGAAGAAAAUGACGGUACCUGACUAAGAAGCCCCGGCUAACUACGUGCCAGCAGCCGCGGUAAUACGUAGGGGGCAAGCGUUAUCCGGAUUUACUGGGUGUAAAGGGAGCGUAGACGGCAGAGCAGGUCUGAAGUGAAAGCGCGCGGCCCAACUGCGGGACUGCUUUGGAAACUGCCCGGCUCGAGUGCUGGAGGG
RNAcentral lists this ribosomal RNA (305 nucleotides) under uncultured bacterium. Its description in RNAcentral is "bacterial SSU rRNA". It matches the Rfam family "Bacterial small subunit ribosomal RNA", at positions 331 to 656 of the family's 1533-position model. The record is from RNAcentral.